Molecule: ribosomal RNA, 253 nt
Filed under: uncultured bacterium
Lineage: Bacteria
Description: partial 16S ribosomal RNA
Rfam family: Bacterial small subunit ribosomal RNA
Source: RNAcentral
UACGUAGGGUGCAAGCGUUGUCCGGGAUUAUUGGGCGUAAAGAGCUCGUAGGCGGUCUGUCGCGUCUGCUGUGAAAACUCAGGGCUUAACCCUGAGCUUGCAGUGGGUACGGGCAGACUAGAGUGCGGUAGGGGAGACUGGAAUUCCUGGUGUAGCGGUGAAAUGCGCAGAUAUCAGGAGGAACACCGGUGGCGAAGGCGGGUCUCUGGGCAGUAACUGACGCUGAGGAGCGAAAGCAUGGGGAGCGAACAGG